GAAAUGCGAUAAGUAGUGUGAAUUGCAGAAUUCAGUGAAUCAUCGAAUCUUUGAACGCACAUUGCGCCCCUCGGUAUUCCGUGGGGCAUGCCUGUUCGAGCGUCAUCUACACCCUCAAGCCCCCGGGCCUGGCGUUGGGGAUCGGCGGAAGCCCCCAGCGGGCACAACGCCGUCCCCCAAAUACAGUGGCGGUCCCGCCGCAGCUUCCAUUGCGUAGUAGCUAACACCUCGCAACUGGAGAGCGGCGCGGCCACGCCGUAAAACACCCAACUUCUGAAUGUUGACCUCGAAUCAGGUAGGAAUACCCGCUGAACUUAAGC
RNAcentral lists this unclassified non-coding RNA (320 nucleotides) under plant metagenome. RNAcentral describes it as "partial contains 5.8S ribosomal RNA, internal transcribed spacer 2, and large subunit ribosomal RNA". The stretch from base 1 to 105 matches the Rfam family "5.8S ribosomal RNA", at positions 50 to 154 of the family's 154-position model. The record is from RNAcentral.